Gopherus flavomarginatus (Mexican gopher tortoise) is the source of this 2138-nucleotide long non-coding RNA. RefSeq lists it as uncharacterized. The transcript is spliced from 2 exons. NCBI's taxonomy places the organism in Eukaryota, Metazoa, Chordata, Testudines, Testudinidae. The record is from RefSeq and is a predicted model, not a curated record.
AUUUACAUCUCUACAGAUGGCCACUUUUAGGUCUUAUGAUCAUAGGAUCUCUCUAGUUUGCAUGUGAAGCUUAGAAUCCUCCAAAAUCUCUUUCCGUGCUUUACAGGGUGUUGGCCAGGGAGAGAGUCUGAUGUACAAUUUUAAAACAAAGUCUGAAGACUGGAGAAGUCAACCAUGCAAUUUCAUGUGUGAAGCCCCUAAUCUACUGUCCCUUGCCCAGUAGAGAAAGACCUGAAACCGGACUUGGGUUAAAAUCACUUGAAUUAUGCAGCAAUAGAAGAUGUGGAGACUCAGAAUUUAGGUUAAGUAUAAAAAUCCACUUCCCAUCCUCUUUCUCCAGGGUAUGAUUAGCAUCCACAAUGGCAUCAGAGGAAGAGAUGGCAAUUGCUUGGAUCACCAAUGCUGUUUGGGAUGUAUACAUGGCUUUGAGUGGAGAGAUGAGCCUUAUUCACAUGAAUAACCGAUCUUGACCACCUGUAAAGGUCAGGAAGGAAUUUUGCCACCAGGGGGCUUUGAAGAAUUUUUGACAGUGAAGCUGCUGUUCCCUUGCUCCUAGCCUUUUCCUCUGUCCCUUCUCUCAAGUCAAAGGAAUUGAAAACCAACUAGUGGGUCAAAGCCAGGUGCCUCCUUGAAGAUGGCUAUGGCAUUGUUCUCUUCACUGGGAUUUAUUGGCAGUACUUAAGGAAUUUAAUAGAGCAGUCUGAUGACUGUUUAUAAAGUAGUCACUAGGGGAGAUUUAAAAAAAUCUCUGCAAAGAUCACUUUGCUUUCAGCAUUUAUUGAAAAAGUGAGAAAUUAACUUUUCAGGGAGGGAAUCCAGAGCCUCAGUUGCAGUUAACAAAUAAUGGUUACCUAGGAACCAGCUUGUGGUGGAGUCAGCAUGCAGUUUUCAUGUCAUUACAUCACUGAUCAGGGAAGGUAACCUGUACUGAGUGGAACAGCAUAGCACCUUCAGAUGCAACCAGCCACUCACAAGUUCUCCAUAUGAAGCUGAGGAAUUACAUUACAGCCAGUGGAAACCACAUUAAAGAUUUAUAAGACACACUGAGUGUCAGGGUGAUGCCAGAGAGCACACUGGAUCAUGUCAGACAAUGGGGUGAAGAGCACAGAGAGGAUUGCCUCAUUCGUCAGCGUAAAGCAGUAACUCCUGCCCCUCUGAAGGGAGCAUAAUUUGUGGCAGGCAGAGCUGACCGACAUUUUCCCUAUCUAGACCCCUUUAUAUUUGUUUGGAGCUAUACAAAAAUAAAUAGGGAUGCUUAUCCAAGGGCCCUUGGUGCCUCUGCCACAGGGACAAAACUAAAACUAAAUAGAUGCUUAUCCUACCCCAGAAAUACAUCCCUAAGAGAGGGAAAGUAGGCCUCUGCUGUUUACAAAAUAAGGAUGUAGGACGAUGACAAACUCAAGGCGUAGCAGACCUUACAAGACACCUUCCCAAGGAAACCAAGACAUGGACAAAUACAAUCAUCAGCAAAAAAAAUCCCACCAAGUCUGAGGGAAAGAGAAUCUUAUUCAGGAAUGAUUAAUUACAAACAUCUUAGCUAAGAUUUCUAAAUCCAAAAAUACCUCAAUACCUAUUUCAAGCUCUAUGUAGCUAGAAUAUGGAGUCGGGGCUGACAGUCUUCUGAGACCAGCUAGGUACCUCAGAUGACCAUAAAGCAGAGGGUCACGAACAGAACCUUGCCUCAGGAAGGAUGUGCCUCACUGGCAUCUCAACUUUUACAAGAUCUUAAAAAUCACAAGACACAAAGCACCUUUGGUUCCAUGGGUUUGUUUACACAGGGACACUCGGGAAAGUUUGGACGAAUUUACUAAUGGUGUGAAGUUAAUGCACACUAAAUUGCUGAGUGAAUGCUCUCAAUUAGAAGUAAAGUGGCGUUUACUGAAGCUUAACCCUCCAAAUCCACACAGAGUUUAGGGGUGCUUUAACUUCAGACCUUUAUUUUAUUCAUCUUAGUUCCCUGUGUAGACAAGCCUGAUUUGUAUAAUAUCUGGCAGUUACUGGCUGGGAGAGUAGGCUGCAAUUGAUCAGCAUUGUUCUCACCCUGCAGUUGGGGGUGGCAUUCAGCUGCACUUUUUGGACUCUCUGCUCACUCUAGAGGUGCCCCUACAAGUAGAUGGCAAAACAUGAAGAAACCACUC